GGGCGAAUAGCUCAAUUGGUAGAGCAGUGGACUCUUAAUCCAUUGGCUGACGGUUCAAGUCCGUCUUCGCCCA
This 73-nucleotide transfer RNA is filed under the name Myxococcales bacterium. Its description in RNAcentral is "tRNA-Lys". It matches the Rfam family "tRNA". From Rfam's summary of the family: Transfer RNA (tRNA) molecules are approximately 80 nucleotides in length. The record is from RNAcentral. RNAcentral also lists the same sequence under 1 other name. Lineage: Bacteria; Pseudomonadati; Myxococcota; Myxococcia; Myxococcales.